AAAAAAAAAAAAAAAAAAAAAAAAAAAAAAAAAAA
Molecule: non-coding RNA, 35 nt
Filed under: Xenopus tropicalis (tropical clawed frog)
Lineage: Eukaryota; Metazoa; Chordata; Amphibia; Anura; Pipidae
Also listed under: 2 other names
Source: RNAcentral